AACUUUUAACAAUGGAUCUCUAGGCUCUCACAUUGAUGAAGAACACAGUGAAAUGUGAUAAGUAAUGUGAAUCGCAGAAUUCAGUGAAUCAUCAAAUUUUUGAACGCACCUUGCACCUUUUGGUAUUCCAAAAGGUACACCUGUUUGAGUGUCA
Molecule: ribosomal RNA, 154 nt
Filed under: Gymnosporangium sabinae (birnengitterrost)
Lineage: Eukaryota; Fungi; Basidiomycota; Pucciniomycetes; Pucciniales; Gymnosporangiaceae
Also listed under: 1 other name
Description: 5.8S ribosomal RNA
Rfam family: 5.8S ribosomal RNA
About the family: 5.8S ribosomal RNA (5.8S rRNA) is a component of the large subunit of the eukaryotic ribosome. It is transcribed by RNA polymerase I as part of the 45S precursor that also contains 18S and 28S rRNA.
Source: RNAcentral